Long non-coding RNA from Humulus lupulus (European hop), 693 nucleotides. RefSeq lists it as uncharacterized. Lineage: Eukaryota; Viridiplantae; Streptophyta; Magnoliopsida; Rosales; Cannabaceae. The record is from RefSeq and is a predicted model, not a curated record. The transcript is spliced from 3 exons.
UACAUUUUGGAUCACAGCUUAUGAGAACAUUCCUUUUCUUUUAAUUCUUUUGAAGGAACUAGCACCUGAAUCAGACCAAGUUCAACAAACUGCCCAAGACACUGGAGAGAUUUUUACAUAUUCAGGUGCUUCACAGGAGGGCAGAAGUGCAGAAAAAGGGAAAGAAAAGGAAGAAAAGGAUAAGGAGAAGAGUAAAGACCAUGAAAAAGAGAAAUGGAAAGAAAAAAAUGCUGAUAAGAAAGGAGACACUAAAAAAGAGAAAUUAAAAAGUAUUGAAGGGACAAAUUUAGAUGCCUUAUUGCAAAGGCUUCCAGGUUGUGUGAGCCGUGAUCUUAUAGAUCAAUUGACAGUAGAUUUGUUACUUGAAUUCAAAAGCAAGUCGAAAAAAGCUUGUGAGGGCAUUGUUUAAUGUUCCAAGGACUUCAUUGGAACUGCUACCAUACUAUCCACGCAUGGUUGCCACAUUAUCAACAUGCAUGAAAGAUGUUUCUUCCAUGCUCCUACAAAUGAUAGAAGAGGAGUUUCAUUUCUUAAUUAAUAAAAAGGAUCAAAUGAACAUUGAAACAAAGAUUAGGAACAUUAGGUUUAUUGGAGAACUAUGCAAGUUUAAAAUCGCACCAGCUGGUCUUGUUUUUAGUUUGUUUGAAGGUAAUGUCCUAGUUGUUGUAUAUAUUUAUUUCUGGUAUAUUUGUU